Molecule: small nuclear RNA, 114 nt
Organism: Etheostoma spectabile (orangethroat darter)
Lineage: Eukaryota; Metazoa; Chordata; Actinopteri; Perciformes; Percidae
Product: U5 spliceosomal RNA
Exons: 1
Source: RefSeq, a predicted model, not a curated record
UCACUCUGGUUUCUCUUUAUAACACACAAGUCUUUUGCCUUUACUAAAGACUUCCUUGGAGGGGACCGGUGAUGAGUUGAAACUAUUUUUGGUGGGGUUUUGCUGUUUGGCCGA